This 508-nucleotide ribosomal RNA is filed under the name uncultured bacterium. Its description in RNAcentral is "bacterial SSU rRNA". It matches the Rfam family "Bacterial small subunit ribosomal RNA", at positions 35 to 570 of the family's 1533-position model. The record is from RNAcentral.
GCUGGCGGCGUGCCUAACACAUGCAAGUCGAACGGGGUAGCAAUACCCAGUGGCAGACGGGUGAGUAACACGUGGUCAACCUACCUCUGUGUGGGGGAUAACUAGCCGAAAGGUUAGCUAAUACCGCAUACGAUCGUUUGGGGGCAUCUUCGAACGAUGAAAGGAGCAAUCCGCACGGAGAGGGGACUGCGUCCCAUUAGUUAGUUGGUGGGGUAACGGCCUACCAAGACUCCGAUGGGUAGCUGGCUUGAGAGAGCGACCAGCCACACUGGAACUGAGACACGGUCCAGACUCCUACGGGAGGCAGCAGUGAGGAAUUUUCCGCAAUGGGCGAAAGCCUGACGGAGCGACGCCGCGUGUGGGAAGAAGGCCUUCGGGUCGUAAACCACUGUCGAAGGGGACGAUAUUGACGGUACCCUUGGAGGAAGCCCCGGCUAACUACGUGCCAGCAGCCGCGGUAAGACGUAGGGGGCAAGCGUUGUCCGGAAUUAUUGGGCGUAAAGCGCUC